Molecule: ribosomal RNA, 836 nt
Filed under: uncultured archaeon
Lineage: Archaea
Description: bacterial SSU rRNA
Rfam family: Archaeal small subunit ribosomal RNA
Source: RNAcentral
GCGAGUCGAAUGUAGCAAUACAUGGCGUACUGCUCAGUAACACGUGGAUAACCUACCCUUAGAACGGGGAUAAACCCGGGAAACUGGGUAUAAUACCCGAUAGAUCUCGACUGCUGGAAUGCAUCGAGCUCCAAAGCUCCGGCGUCUAAGGAUGGAUCUGCGGCCUAUCAGGUAGUAGUGGGUGUAGCGUACCUACUAGCCUACGACGGGUACGGGUUGUGAGAGCAAGAGCCCGGAGAUGGAUUCUGAGACACGAAUCCAGGCCCUACGGGGUGCAGCAGGCGCGAAAACUUUACAAUGCUGGAAACAGCGAUAAGGGGACCUCGAGUGCCAGGUUACAAAUCUGGCUGUCGUGAUGCCUAAAAAGCAUUGCAUAGCAAGGGCCGGGCAAGACCGGUGCCAGCCGCCGCGGUAACACCGGCGGCUCGAGUGGUAACCGUUAUUAUUGGGUCUAAAGGGUCUGUAGCCGGCCGGAUAAGUCUCUUGGGAAAUCUGGCAGCUUAACUGUCAGGCUUUCAGGAGAUACUGUCUGGCUCGAGGCCGGGAGAGGUGAGAGGUACUUCAGGGGUAGGGGUGAAAUCUUGUAAUCCUUGAAGGACCACCAGUGGCGAAGGCGUCUCACCAGAACGGACCUGACGGCAAGGGACGAAAGCUAGGGGCACGAACCGGAUUAGAUACCCGGGUAGUCCUAGCCGUAAACGAUACUCGCUAGGUGUCGGCCACGGUGCGACCGUUGUCGGUGCCGUAGGGAAGCCGUGAAGCGAGCCACCUGGGAAGUACGGCCGCAAGGCUGAAACUUAAAGGAAUUGGCGGGGGAGCACCACAACGGGUGGAGC